ACCUCCACUUGCGGGGAAACCCUCUAUCUUUCUGAUGUCAUGCAGCAUUUACAAAUAAUGCGGUGAGCUCACCCCUCGCGUCACGUGGCAUGACGUCAGUCCCGUAUCGUUCCGAGAAGACGCGAAAGUUUCCGAACCAUGUGGAAUGACGCAUCGGGGUUGCCCGGAAAUGGCAAGAGGAAUAAUAAAACACCGGUGAAGGGAAGCCCCAGUCCCGAACAGAUAUUUCUCUAUGGCAAGGAGCGACAUUCUGCGCAGACUUCAGUAUCAUGUCAAGAUGCAGAACAUCGAUGGCUGUCUUCUUAUUUGUAGCGUCAUGUAGUCUGGUGGAAGUUUACUGAUGUUUCAGAGGUCCUUGCCACCUCCAAUCAGGAAACUCUUACCGAACUACAUGACGCUACAACCCAGAAGGCAGCCACCUUCGUACUCACUGCCACGAAAACCUCAGAUCCGACUUCGUAAAACAUCAUUUAGAAUAUGCACAGUCAUGUGAUGUGCUGUAUUGAUUGAUGACCUAAUAAAGGAUGCGGAGAGAGGGGAGGGGGGAGAAAAUUGGAAGAAAACAAAAGCACACCAGUUCAUCUGAACUAAUAAAGAAUCAGUUUAUUUCAUGGUUCAUGUUUUGCCCCGAUACCUUCUGCUUUGCUUAUUGGUGUCACGGAAGUGACGCUUCUCACGUCCGACUAAAA
Non-coding RNA from Zootermopsis nevadensis, 689 nucleotides. NCBI's taxonomy places the organism in Eukaryota, Metazoa, Arthropoda, Insecta, Blattodea, Termopsidae. The record is from RefSeq and is a predicted model, not a curated record.